This 619-nucleotide ribosomal RNA is filed under the name Burkholderia sp. IBa208. RNAcentral's name for it is "bacterial SSU rRNA". It matches the Rfam family "Bacterial small subunit ribosomal RNA", at positions 391 to 1004 of the family's 1533-position model. The record is from RNAcentral. Lineage: Bacteria; Pseudomonadati; Pseudomonadota; Betaproteobacteria; Burkholderiales; Burkholderiaceae.
GCAAUGCCGCGUGUGUGAAGAAGGCCCCGGGUUGUAAAGCACUUUUGUCCGGAAAGAAAUCCUUGGCUCUAAUACAGUCGGGGGAUGACGGUACCGGAAGAAUAAGCACCGGCUAACUACGUGCCAGCAGCCGCGGUAAUACGUAGGGUGCGAGCGUUAAUCGGAAUUACUGGGCGUAAAGCGUGCGCAGGCGGUUUGCUAAGACCGAUGUGAAAUCCCCGGGCUCAACCUGGGAACUGCAUUGGUGACUGGCAGGCUAGAGUAUGGCAGAGGGGGGUAGAAUUCCACGUGUAGCAGUGAAAUGCGUAGAGAUGUGGAGGAAUACCGAUGGCGAAGGCAGCCCCCUGGGCCAAUACUGACGCUCAUGCACGAAAGCGUGGGGAGCAAACAGGAUUAGAUACCCUGGUAGUCCACGCCCUAAACGAUGUCAACUAGUUGUUGGGGAUUCAUUUCCUUAGUAACGUAGCUAACGCGUGAAGUUGACCGCCUGGGGAGUACGGUCGCAAGAUUAAAACUCAAAGGAAUUGACGGGGACCCGCACAAGCGGUGGAUGAUGUGGAUUAAUUCGAUGCAACGCGAAAAACCUUACCUACCCUUGACAUGGUCGGAAUCCUGCUGA